Molecule: long non-coding RNA, 3550 nt
Filed under: Xyrichtys novacula (pearly razorfish)
Lineage: Eukaryota; Metazoa; Chordata; Actinopteri; Labriformes; Labridae
Source: RNAcentral
CGGGGACGGUCCAUCUGCUGCGGUCAGGAUGCUGCACGGGGACAGAUGUUUCCUAAUGUCAGGCAGGAAGCAAGGACGGAUAAAUGAAACCCAACCGUUUCUCCUCGACACACAGGUACUGUACGUCAUCCUCCCAGCAUGCCUCACUUCAAACAGUCAAAGUUUGUCUUCUGCUCUCCGCCUCCUAAACGAUGUCUUAAUCAUAUAGAAGUCAGAAAAUAAGAACCAUUAAAGGAAGCUGCGUUUUGAGGACUUUUGGGAGCGGCUACUUCCGCGCCGUCAUUCUGCUUCAAAGAAAAAAGAUAAAUGAUGAUGCCAUUAAAAGUGAACUAAUUAAGGAAGGCUUCUUUUAAGAACUCAUUAACUGCAACCUCAUUUACAUAAUGAUGCAUAUUAAUUAAGUUUUAAUGAAUCUGAAUUUCCAGCAAGCCGCAUUUCUUUGGCUGUGGAACAAAUUGAACAAAUUAUUUAAAAGUGUUCUUGAAUCUACUUUUCUCUCCAAAGGGGAGUGAGAAUGCAUUCAUUUGUCGAAAAUCAUAUUUUUCUCUCUGCUCUCUGCAGCCUGUGCCCAUCUGUUAAUUAUUUUUAAUGUAAUCAUUUAGCCUUUUGUUUCUGGCUCCUGCAGGAGACGAUCAGGAGUUGAGGGGCGGAUGGAGAGAGUCUGAGAUGCAGAGGCAGAUGAGGGUUGCAGUUUUGCUUGUUGUCAUGAUGGACGUUAUUAUUAUUUAUUUUAAUUGAACCUUUAUUUAACCAGAUAAGUCCCAUUGAGAUCAGGAUCGCAUUUAUAAAGGUGACCUGGCCAAGAGGUCAGCAGCACAUGUCAUACCAAAUACAAAUUCUGAUGAAGGUAAUAAAUCACAGACAAGAAAUAUGGUUUAAACUUCAAAAGUAUAGCGCGAAAAGCUCUAGAAGAAACCAGCUCUGACAUAUAAGUUCUGUUUGUAAAGUAUUCCAAGUUAUGGAGGCAGCAUAACAAAAAGCUUGUUUACCCAAUUUAGUCUAAACCCUGGGCACAUUUAAAAGCUAAGUUGAGCAAGAACGUAGGGCAUAGGUGCUCCUCGAUUUCCGUAACAGGGACCAUUAGUAGGAUGGAAGUAAGCCAAGAAGAGUCUUAUAAACCAAGAACAUCUAGUGAGAAAAUCUCCAGAAGCUCAAGUAGGGCCACCCAACACUGGCACAUAGCUCACAGUGGUGCGUGAGGCGACUGCAGCCAGUGACAAAGUGUAAUGCCUAAUGGUAAAAAGUGUCUAGUGACCCAAGACAUUUGGCUGAGGCACUCAUAUAUAACAUCACCAUAAUCAAUCAGUGACAGAAAGGUUGCAGAGACAAGAUAUUUCUGAGCUCUGAGGGAAAAACAAGAUUUAUUUUAACAAUAAAAAACAAAUUUCACCCUCAAUUUGUGGACCAGGUUGGCAAUGUGACCCUCAAAAGAGAGCUCCUGGCCAAGCAGAAAGCCAGAGUACUUAUAGCUGGGGACCAGCUCUAUCUGCUUGCCAUUGGUUGUUGUCAUGGUCUGGAAAGGCUCUGUUAUUUUUUUGCUUACAUGAGAAUAGCAUGAUUUUAGUUUUCUCUAAAAAACAAUUUCAGAGAUUGUUGGCAAGCCUGAGUUGUAUAAAAGCUGUUUGUAAAAAUUCUCAAGGCUGUGAAAGUGAGGAAGAGCAGCAAUAAAUAACUGUGUCAUUGGCAUAAUAAAUCACAAGCUUUUAGAACCGAAGCUCUGCCGCACUCAGCCCCAGUCUCUAAGACUUGACUGUCUCCAAGACCUGCCAUGUUUUCUGUUAUUUACUGCGUCCCAAGUGAGUGGAAACUGGACAUACUUGCCCUUCCUGACAUAGUAUUCAACACUUGGGACAGCACAUGAGUAAAACUACUCUGGGAGACACACCAACUGUGAUGGUGUGCUGGAAUGAUGCAGUGUUGAUACGCAGUGUUACAAGGACUUUUUAAAUAGGAGAUAUGGCAUGGAUCAUUUUUGUGACUGGCUCCAAAUCAGCUCUUAGGUCACCCAGCAGCUCAAAAAUGGCUUUACUAUUACUCACUGUUACUUACUAUUACUGUUUCUAUUUCUGAUAGUCCAGAUAUGUUGACACGUGCACAGAAAAUUCUUUCUCUCUUCAUCCUCUAUCAUUGCACUUUUACCUCCUUUUUCCACAAUGACUGCAGCCAUUUGUGCCUAACGCUGUGCCAGUUUGCAUGUGCCUUUCAAACGUGCUAAAUAUAGAUUCAAAACAGUGACCACUAUCGGUUUCCGGAUUUGAUGAAUUACAUGGCAGGUGCUAAAGGAUUCCAUUUUUAUCUGCUCCUCCCAGAAUUUUGCACAUUCUGAUAAUCUACAUACAUCCUGCAUAUCAUCACACUAUUAAAAUAAUGGCCUAAGUCUUUUUUGAUGAAAAUGAGUUUUUUGCUUGAAUCAUCUCUUGAUGUAGAUGAGUAGAUGAGGUCCAUUGUGCUCUGAUAGUUAGGUAAUCUGCAAACUAGGGGGAUGCCUAGCUUGAGAUGCCAAUCUUGAGCAGUAUGUCAAUUCAAAGCGAAUGAUCAGCAGUAUCAAAUUCCUUGGCUGUAACACAGUUUUAUUUACAACCUAAAACCUGAAGAAAAUCAUUUCAAACAAUUACGGCAGCAGUAACAGUACUGAGCUGCUUUCUAAAACUGUAUUGAACCAUUGAUAAAAUGCCAUUUACAUCUAAAACAGUUUUAAUUGCCCACUUACAAUUUUUUCAAUUUUUUCAAUUUUUUUUUUUUUUUGCCAAAACAGAGUUUAGAAAUUGGUCUGGUUGGUUAUUGACCUCUUAAAGAUCACCACCCUAGAAGUGGUAGCACAAAAGAUGCUUUCCAUUCUUUGGGAACUUUAUUUGAUUUCAGACAGCAGCACUGCAAUAUAGUCAGCAGCCAAUUUAAUAAAAAAAGGGGGGCCAGUUGAUCAGGACCAGCUUCCUUACUUGAGCACUCAACACGUCAACGCUGUGCCUGUCACUGUGAAUGUUUGCUGUGUGCACAUUCAGAUUCAGGUACCUGUAGACAGUAACAGACAGACAGUGAACGGCAGAAAUGCCUGGGAGAUGGAUUGCAGAGCCAAGCACAUGUCUCACAACUGGGCUUUAAAUACAGGAAGAAUACUUUAAAGAGUUGUUAACGAUUAAAAAGAGUUGGUUCUUGUUGAGGAUCAGUAUUAAAGAGACCCUCUGAUUAUAGUUAUGACUGCCUACCAUCAUAAAAAAAAAAAAAUUAAGACUAAGCAAUGCAUGUCACUUACCAUGUUGCCCUGUUACGACCUAUAUGUUGCUUUAAAUGCACCUUCCCUCUCUUCCUGAACAGCAGAGCGAGGGCACGGCUACUCCCCUCACACCGUUCUGACUUGAACUUCAGCAGCACCAGCUCAGACCAAUCAGAGACAAGGUUUGGAGAAGAUACAGCUCCUUUUUCUACAACAUGCAACAGGUACCAACUAUUAGACAGCUGCAGGAGGAGAGGACAGGAGCAGGAGGAAAGAGGAGAGCAGGGAGAGGAGAAGGAGGAAAGAGGAGUAGUAAAAUCUGAUAUUAAUUUAGUG